Molecule: ribosomal RNA, 271 nt
Filed under: Paraphysomonas bandaiensis
Lineage: Eukaryota; Chrysophyceae; Chromulinales; Paraphysomonadaceae
Description: partial Bacterial large subunit ribosomal RNA
Rfam family: Bacterial large subunit ribosomal RNA
Source: RNAcentral
GAACGUCGUGAGACAGUUCGGUCCCUAUCCGUCGCGGGCGCAGGAAAUUUGAGAGGAGCUGUCCUUAGUACGAGAGGACCGGGAUGGACGCACCGCUGGUGUACCAGUUGUUCUGCCAAGGGCAUCGCUGGGUAGCUAUGUGCGGACGGGAUAAGUGCUGAAAGCAUCUAAGCAUGAAGCCCCCCUCAAGAUGAGAUUUCCCAUUCCUAUAAGGAAGUAAGAUCCCUGAAAGAUGAUCAGGUUGAUAGGUCUGAGGUGGAAGUGUGGCGAC